GCGUUGUUCGGAAUUACUGGGCGUAAAGGGUUCGUAGGUGGCCAACUAAGUCAGACGUGAAAUCCCUCAGCUUAACUGGGGAACUGCGUCUGAUACUGGAUGGCUUGAGUGCAGGAGAGGAAUGCGGAAUUCCAGGUGUAGCGGUGAAAUGCGUAGAUAUCUGGAGGAACACCGGUGGCGAAGGCGGCAUUCUGGACUGCAACUGACACUGAGGAACGAAAGCCAG
This 226-nucleotide ribosomal RNA is filed under the name uncultured bacterium. RNAcentral describes it as "partial 16S ribosomal RNA". It matches the Rfam family "Bacterial small subunit ribosomal RNA", at positions 538 to 763 of the family's 1533-position model. The record is from RNAcentral.